This 201-nucleotide ribosomal RNA is filed under the name Klebsiella pneumoniae. RNAcentral describes it as "partial 16S ribosomal RNA". It matches the Rfam family "Bacterial small subunit ribosomal RNA", at positions 363 to 556 of the family's 1533-position model. The record is from RNAcentral. Lineage: Bacteria; Pseudomonadati; Pseudomonadota; Gammaproteobacteria; Enterobacterales; Enterobacteriaceae.
AUUGCACAAUGGGCGCAAGCCUGAUGCAGCCAUGCCGCGUGUGUGAAGAAGGCCUUCGGGUUGUAAAGCACUUUCAGCGGGGAGGAAGGCGAUAAGGUUAAUAACCUUGUCGAUUGACGUUACCCGCAGAAGAAGCACCGGCUAACUCCGUGCCAGCAGCCGCGGUAAUACGGAGGGUGCAAGCGUUAAUCGGAAUUACUG